GUGGGGAAUCUUGCGCAAUGGGCGAAAGCCUGACGCAGCCAUGCCGCGUGAAUGAUGAAGGUCUUAGGAUUGUAAAAUUCUUUCACCGGGGACGAUAAUGACGGUACCCGGAGAAGAAGCCCCGGCUAACUUCGUGCCAGCAGCCGCGGUAAUACGAAGGGGGCUAGCGUUGCUCGGAAUUACUGGGCGUAAAGGGCGCGUAGGCGGAUCGUUAAGUCAGAGGUGAAAUCCCAGGGCUCAACCCUGGAACUGCCUUUGAUACUGGCGAUCUUGAGUAUGAGAGAGGUAUGUGGAACUCCGAGUGUAGAGGUGAAAUUCGUAGAUAUUCGGAAGAACACCAGUGGCGAAGGCGACAUACUGGCUCAUUACUGACGCUGAGGCGCGAAAGCGUGGGGAGCAA
Molecule: ribosomal RNA, 400 nt
Filed under: uncultured Brevundimonas sp.
Lineage: Bacteria; Pseudomonadati; Pseudomonadota; Alphaproteobacteria; Caulobacterales; Caulobacteraceae
Description: bacterial SSU rRNA
Rfam family: Bacterial small subunit ribosomal RNA
Source: RNAcentral